GCUUGUCUCAAAGAUUAAGCCAUGCAUGUCUAAGUAUAAAUGCUAUACAAUGAAACUGCGAAUGGCUCAUUAAAACAGUUAUAGUUUAUUUGGUAAUACACUUACAUGGAUAACCGUGGUAAUUCUAGAGCUAAUACAUGCUGUUAAGCCUGACUUCUUGAAGGGCUGUAUUUAUUAGAUGGAAACCAAUGCGGGGCAACCCGGAAAAUGGUGAUUCAUAAUAACUUUCGGAUCGUUUACGAUGCAUCAUUCAAGUUUCUGCCCUAUCAGCUUUGGAUGGUAGGGUAUUGGCCUACCAUGGCUUUAACGGGUAACGGAGAAUUAGGGUUCGAUUCCGGAGAGGGAGCCUGAGAAAUGGCUACCACAUCCAAGGAAGGCAGCAGG
RNAcentral lists this ribosomal RNA (384 nucleotides) under Chromulina chionophila. RNAcentral's name for it is "partial small subunit ribosomal RNA". It matches the Rfam family "Eukaryotic small subunit ribosomal RNA", at positions 30 to 432 of the family's 1831-position model. Lineage: Eukaryota; Chrysophyceae; Chromulinales; Chromulinaceae. The record is from RNAcentral.